RNAcentral lists this ribosomal RNA (467 nucleotides) under uncultured bacterium. RNAcentral describes it as "partial 16S ribosomal RNA". It matches the Rfam family "Bacterial small subunit ribosomal RNA", at positions 28 to 507 of the family's 1533-position model. The record is from RNAcentral.
GAUGAACGCUGGCGGCGUGCUUAACACAUGCAAGUCGAACGGAAAGGCCCAAGCUUGCUUGGGUACUCGAGUGGCGAACGGGUGAGUAACACGUGGGUGAUCUGCCCUGCACUUCGGGAUAAGCCUUGGAAACUGGGUCUAAUACCGGCUAGGACCACUUCUUGGAUGUUGUGGUGGAAAGUUUUUUCGGUGUGGGAUGAGCUCGCGGCCUAUCAGCUUGGUGGGGGGGUAAUGGCCUACCAAGGCGUCGACGGGUAGCCGGCCUGAGAGGGUGUACGGCGACAUUGGGACUGAGAUAAGGCACAGACUCCGACGGGAGGCAGCAGGGGGGAAUAUUGCACAAUGGGUGCAAGCCGGAUGCAGCGACGCCGCGGGGGGGAUGACGGUCUUCGGGUUGUGAACUCCUUUCGCUAGGGAAGAAUCGUUUUGUGACGGUACCUGGAGAAGAAGCACCGGCUAACUACGUG